AUGUGUGUGUGUGUGUGUGUGUAUGGGGAUUAUUUAUAUAUUAUGCUUACCUGAUGCAUAUUCUUUUCUACCAGAGUUACUGUCUUCUUCUUUUUGAAAUAUUAAAAUUUUACAAAUAUUACAUAGAUUGAGUGCUUGUUAAUGAUGUGUUAUUUUUCUUAUCUUCUUUACAACUUACAAGACAUCAUUGGUAAAUCUUCCAUCAGAAGGCCUUUUUUCCAGCUGCCUUCCGGUUCUGUUGCUUAUAUUUGGAACAGCAUGUUAGGACUUCCAUUCUGUUGCUGAAGAAUUGCACAGGGAUUGUAUCUCUUUUCCCUUUCCAUGAAGGACAACACUCUUUAAAUUGAUGACCAACGUGCUCAUUGCUCCUCACCGUUCAUCAAUUAAUAAUUUAAAAUUCCUAAUUCUGUGAUCGUUUAAACCUCACACAGAAGUAUAGAUGGUUUAGUGGCUCAACUGUAGCAAUAGAGUCAGGUCCAGUCACAUCUUUCUACAUGGAAGGAUUAUAUUUGCCAUAUUAAUUUUUUAACUUACAGGUGUUUGUUUUAUUUUUCUAUUUUAGUUAUGGCAGAGCCAAACAAAGGUA
RNAcentral lists this unclassified non-coding RNA (586 nucleotides) under Hevea brasiliensis (rubber tree). Lineage: Eukaryota; Viridiplantae; Streptophyta; Magnoliopsida; Malpighiales; Euphorbiaceae. The record is from RNAcentral.